GACGAACGCUGGCGGCGUGCCUAAUACAUGCAAGUAGAACUCUGAAGGAGGAGCUUGCUUCUCUGGAUGAGUUGCGAACGGGUGAGUAACGCGUAGGUAACCUGCCUGGUAGCGGGGGAUAACUAUUGGAAACGAUAGCUAAUACCGCAUAAGAGUAGAUGUUGCAUGACAUUUGCUUAAAAGGUGCAAUUGCAUCACUACCAGAUGGACCUGCGUUGUAUUAGCUAGUUGGUGAGGUAACGGCUCACCAAGGCGACGAUACAUAGCCGACCUGAGAGGGUGAUCGGCCACACUGGGACUGAGACACGGCCCAGACUCCUACGGGAGGCAGCAGUAGGGAAUCUUCGGCAAUGGACGGAAGUCUGACCGAGCAACGCCGCGUGAGUGAAGAAGGUUUUCGGAUCGUAAAGCUCUGUUGUAAGAGAAGAACGAGUGUGAGAGUGGAAAGUUCACACUGUGACGGUAUCUUACCAGAAAGGGACGGCUAACUACGUG
This 495-nucleotide ribosomal RNA is filed under the name uncultured bacterium. RNAcentral's name for it is "partial 16S ribosomal RNA". It matches the Rfam family "Bacterial small subunit ribosomal RNA", at positions 28 to 507 of the family's 1533-position model. The record is from RNAcentral.